This 69-nucleotide transfer RNA is filed under the name Teratoscincus scincus (Common wonder gecko). RNAcentral's name for it is "tRNA-Ala". Lineage: Eukaryota; Metazoa; Chordata; Lepidosauria; Squamata; Sphaerodactylidae. The record is from RNAcentral.
GAAGGCCUGUAUUACUCUAAAAUACAUCUUCUGAAUGCAACUCAAACACUUUAAUUAAGCUAAAACCUC